AGAAUUAGAGAAAUUGAAAUUGGACGAAAUGACUUGUUAUUCCCUUUCUAUUCUUUCCUUUUCUUUCUUUCUUUCUUUCUUUCU
This 84-nucleotide non-coding RNA is filed under the name Paramoeba aestuarina. Lineage: Eukaryota; Discosea; Flabellinia; Dactylopodida; Paramoebidae. The record is from RNAcentral.